UUAAAUUGAAGAGUUUGAUCAUGGCUCAGAUUGAACGCUGGCGGCAGGCCUAACACAUGCAAGUCGAACGGUAACAGGAAGCAGCUUGCUGCUUUGCUGACGAGUGGCGGACGGGUGAGUAAUGUCUGGGAAACUGCCUGAUGGAGGGGGAUAACUACUGGAAACGGUGGCUAAUACCGCAUAACGUCGCAAGACCAAAGAGGGGGACCUUCGGGCCUCUUGCCAUCAGAUGUGCCCAGAUGGGAUUAGCUUGUUGGUGAGGUAACGGCUCACCAAGGCGACGAUCCCUAGCUGGUCUGAGAGGAUGACCAGCCACACUGGAACUGAGACACGGUCCAGACUCCUACGGGAGGCAGCAGUGGGGAAUAUUGCACAAUGGGCGCAAGCCUGAUGCAGCCAUGCCGCGUGUAUGAAGAAGGCCUUCGGGUUGUAAAGUACUUUCAGCGGGGAGGAAGGUGUUGUGGUUAAUAACCGCAGCAAUUGACGUUACCCGCAGAAGAAGCACCGGCUAACUCCGUGCCAGCAGCCGCGGUAAUACGGAGGGUGCAAGCGUUAAUCGGAAUUACUGGGCGUAAAGCGCACGCAGGCGGUCUGUCAAGUCGGAUGUGAAAUCCCCGGGCUCAACCUGGGAACUGCAUUCGAAACUGGCAGGCUUGAGUCUUGUAGAGGGGGGUAGAAUUCCAGGUGUAGCGGUGAAAUGCGUAGAGAUCUGGAGGAAUACCGGUGGCGAAGGCGGCCCCCUGGACAAAGACUGACGCUCAGGUGCGAAAGCGUGGGGAGCAAACAGGAUUAGAUACCCUGGUAGUCCACGCCGUAAACGAUGUCUACUUGGAGGUUGUGCCCUUGAGGCGUGGCUUCCGGAGCUAACGCGUUAAGUAGACCGCCUGGGGAGUACGGCCGCAAGGUUAAAACUCAAAUGAAUUGACGGGGGCCCGCACAAGCGGUGGAGCAUGUGGUUUAAUUCGAUGCAACGCGAAGAACCUUACCUGGUCUUGACAUCCACAGAACUUUCCAGAGAUGGACUGGUGCCUUCGGGAACUGUGAGACAGGUGCUGCAUGGCUGUCGUCAGCUCGUGUUGUGAAAUGUUGGGUUAAGUCCCGCAACGAGCGCAACCCUUAUCCUUUGUUGCCAGCGAUUAGGUCGGGAACUCAAAGGAGACUGCCAGUGAUAAACUGGAGGAAGGUGGGGAUGACGUCAAGUCAUCAUGGCCCUUACGACCAGGGCUACACACGUGCUACAAUGGCGCAUACAAAGAGAAGCGACCUCGCGAGAGCAAGCGGACCUCAUAAAGUGCGUCGUAGUCCGGAUUGGAGUCUGCAACUCGACUCCAUGAAGUCGGAAUCGCUAGUAAUCGUGGAUCAGAAUGCCACGGUGAAUACGUUCCCGGGCCUUGUACACACCGCCCGUCACACCAUGGGAGUGGGUUGCAAAAGAAGUAGGUAGCUUAACCUUCGGGAGGGCGCUUACCACUUUGUGAUUCAUGACUGGGGUGAAGUCGUAACAAGGUAACCGUAGGGGAACCUGCGGUUGGAUCACCUCCUUACCUUAAAGAAGC
Molecule: ribosomal RNA, 1556 nt
Filed under: Salmonella enterica subsp. enterica serovar Derby
Lineage: Bacteria; Pseudomonadati; Pseudomonadota; Gammaproteobacteria; Enterobacterales; Enterobacteriaceae
Also listed under: 1 other name
Description: bacterial SSU rRNA
Rfam family: Bacterial small subunit ribosomal RNA
Source: RNAcentral